AGGGAGCAAGCGUUGUUCGGAAUGACUGGGCGUAAAGGGUGCGUAGGCGGUUAUACAAGUUAGAAGUGAAAUACCCAGGGCUUAACUCGGGUGCUGCUUCUAAAACUGUAAGACUUGAGUGCAGUAGAGGUUAGUGGAAUUCCUAGUGUAGCGGUGGAAUGCGUAGAUAUUAGGAGGAACACCAGAGGCGAAGGCGGCUAACUGGACUGCAACUGACGCUGAGGCACGAAAGUGUGGGGAGCAAACAGGAUUAGAUACCCUGGUAGUCCACACUGUAAACGAUGGAUACUAGAUGUAGGAGGUAUCGACUCCUUCUGCGUCGCAGUUAACACGAUAAGUAUCCCGCCUGGGGAGUACGGCCGCAAGGUUG
RNAcentral lists this ribosomal RNA (370 nucleotides) under uncultured Eubacteriales bacterium. Its description in RNAcentral is "bacterial SSU rRNA". It matches the Rfam family "Bacterial small subunit ribosomal RNA", at positions 529 to 896 of the family's 1533-position model. Lineage: Bacteria; Bacillati; Bacillota; Clostridia; Eubacteriales. The record is from RNAcentral.